GUACGAACGAAGGCUUCGGCCUUGAGUGGCGCACGGGUGCCGCUAACGCGUGGGAAUCUGCCUUCAGGUAACGGAAUAACUAGGCGGAAACUCGAGCUAAUACCGUAUGACAUCGAGAGAUCAAUAAGAUUUAUCGCCUGAAGACUGAGCCCGCGUUGGAUGUAGUCUAGCUUGGUAGCGGUAAAAGCUUACCAAUGGCGACGAUCCAUAGCUGGUCUGAGAGGACUGAUCAGCCACACGUGGCGACUGAGACACGGCCCAGACUCCUACGGGAGGCAGCAGUGGCGGAAUAUUGGACAAUGGCGGGAAACCCUUGAUCCAGCAAUAGCCGCGUGAGUGAAGAAGUGCCUUAGGGUUGUAGAGCUCUAUGUUACCCGGGAUGAUAAUGACAGUACUCGGAGAGAAUGAAGUCUCCUGGCUAAUCUCCGUGCCAGCAGCCGCGGUCAUAUACGGAGGGUAGCUAGCGUUGUGUCGGCAAUUACUGGGCGUAAUAGCGUACGUGAGGCGGUUUAAUAAGUCAGGGGUGAAUUAGCCCAGAGCUCAGCUCUGGACACUGCCUUAUGAGACUGUUACGACAUAGAUACAUAGAAGAGGCUAAGUGGAAUUCCGAGUGUAGAGCGUGAAAUUCGUUAGAUAUUCGGAAGGAAUCACCAGUGGCGAAGGCGACUUACUGGUCUGAUAGUUGACGCUGAGGUACGAAUAGCGUGGCGUAGCAUAACAGGAUGUAGAUUACCCUGGUAGUCCAACGCCGUAUAACGAUGAUAACUAGCUGUCCGGGUACAUGCGUAUCUGGGUGGUCGGAGCUAACGCAUUAAGUUAUCCGCCUGGCGGAAGUACGGUCGCAAGAUUAAAACUCAAAGAACAUUGACGGGCGGCUUGCACAAGCGGUGGAGCAUGUGGUUAUAAUUGCGAAGCAACGCGCAGAACCUUACCAGCGUUAUGACAUCCUGAUCGCGGACAAGUGGAUGACACAUUCUUUCAGUUCGGCUGGACUCAGAGACAGGUGCUGCCAUGGCCUGUCGUCAGCAUCCGUGUUCGUGAGAUAGUAAUGGGUUAAGUCCGCGCUAACGAGCGCAACCCUCACCUCUAGUUGCCAUCAUUAAGUUGGAGCCACUGUUAGAGGAACUGCCGGUGAUAAGCCGGAGGAUAGGCUGGGGAUGACGUCAAGUCCUCAUGGCCCUUACGCGUUGCGGCUACACACGUGACUACAAUGGCGGUGACAGAGGGCUCGCAAGUCCUGCCAAAGGUUAGCUAACUCUCAAAUAAUGCCGUCUCAGUUCGGAUUGUUCUCUGCAACUCGUGCGAGCAUGAAGGCGGAAUCGCUAGUAAUCGCGGAUCAGCAUGCACGCGGUGAAUACGUAUCCCAGUGCUCUUGUACACACCGCCCGUCAGCACCUAUGCGGAGUUGCGAUUCACCCGACAGGCGCCUGUCGACUAACCCGCACAGUGGAGCUGAUCAC
RNAcentral lists this ribosomal RNA (1460 nucleotides) under uncultured Zymomonas sp. RNAcentral describes it as "bacterial SSU rRNA". It matches the Rfam family "Bacterial small subunit ribosomal RNA". The record is from RNAcentral. Lineage: Bacteria; Pseudomonadati; Pseudomonadota; Alphaproteobacteria; Sphingomonadales; Zymomonadaceae.